RNAcentral lists this transfer RNA (68 nucleotides) under Ultragryllacris pulchra rubricapitis. RNAcentral's name for it is "tRNA-Met". Lineage: Eukaryota; Metazoa; Arthropoda; Insecta; Orthoptera; Gryllacrididae. The record is from RNAcentral.
AAAAAGAUAAGCUAAAUUACAAGCUAAUGGGUUCAUACCCCAUUUAUAGAUAACACUUCUUCUUUUUA